GAGGCGAUGAAGGACGUGCUAAUCUGCGAAAAGCGCCGGCGAGGUGAUAUGAACCCUUGACCCGGCGAUGUCCGAAUGGGGAAACCCAGUGCAAUCCGUUGCACUAUCGUUAACUGAAUACAUAGGUUAACGAGGCGAACCGGGGGAACUGAAACAUCUAAGUACCCCGAGGAAAAGAAAUCAACCGAGAUUCCCCCAGUAGCGGCGAGCGAACGGGGAGCAGCCCGGAGUCUGAAUCAGCUUGUGUGUUAGUGGAACGGUCUGGAAAGUCCGACGGUACAGGGUGAUAGUCCCGUACACGAAAAUGCACAUGCUGUGAACUCGAAGAGUAGGGCGGGACACGUGGUAUCCUGUCUGAAUAUGGGGGGACCAUCCUCCAAGGCUAAAUACUCCUGACUGACCGAUAGUGAACCAGUACCGUGAGGGAAAGGCGAAAAGAACCCCGGCGAGGGGAGUGAAAAAGAACCUGAAACCGUGUACGUACAAGCAGUGGGAGCCUCUUUAUGGGGUGACUGCGUACCUUUUGUAUAAUGGGUCAGCGACUUAUAUUCUGUAGCAAGGUUAACCGUAUAGGGGAGCCGAAGGGAAACCGAGUCUUAACUGGGCGUUAAGUUGCAGGGUAUAGACCCGAAACCCGGUGAUCUAGCCAUGGGCAGGUUGAAGGUUGGGUAACACUAACUGGAGGACCGAACCGACUAAUGUUGAAAAAUUAGCGGAUGACCUGUGGCUGGGGGUGAAAGGCCAAUCAAACCGGGAGAUAGCUGGUUCUCCCCGAAAGCUAUUUAGGUAGCGCCUCGUGAACUCAUCUUCGGGGGUAGAGCACUGUUUCGGCUAGGGGGCCAUCCCGGCUUACCAACCCGAUGCAAACUACGAAUACCGAAGAAUGUUAUCACGGGAGACACACGGCGGGUGCUAACGUCCGUCGUGAAGAGGGAAACAACCCAGACCGCCAGCUAAGGUCCCAAAGUCAUGGUUAAGUGGGAAACGAUGUGGGAAGGCACAGACAGCCAGGAUGUUGGCUUAGAAGCAGCCAUCAUUUAAAGAAAGCGUAAUAGCUCACUGGUCGAGUCGGCCUGCGCGGAAGAUGUAACGGGGCUAAACCAUGCACCGAAGCUGCGGCAGCGACACUAUGUGUUGUUGGGUAGGGGAGCGUUCUGUAAGCCGUUGAAGGUGUGCUGUGAGGCAUGCUGGAGGUAUCAGAAGUGCGAAUGCUGACAUAAGUAACGAUAAAGCGGGUGAAAAGCCCGCUCGCCGGAAGACCAAGGGUUCCUGUCCAACGUUAAUCGGGGCAGGGUGAGUCGACCCCUAAGGCGAGGCCGAAAGGCGUAGUCGAUGGGAAACAGGUUAAUAUUCCUGUACUUGGUGUUACUGCGAAGGGGGGACGGAGAAGGCUAUGUCAGCCGGGCGACGGUUGUCCCGGUUUAAGCAUGUAGGCGGAGGUUCCAGGUAAAUCCGGUACCUUGUUAACGCUGAGGUGUGAUGACGAGGCACUACGGUGCUGAAGUGAUAAAUGCCCUGCUUCCAGGAAAAGCCUCUAAGCAUCAGGUAACACGAAAUCGUACCCCAAACCGACACAGGUGGUCAGGUAGAGAAUACCAAGGCGCUUGAGAGAACUCGGGUGAAGGAACUAGGCAAAAUGGUGCCGUAACUUCGGGAGAAGGCACGCUGAUGUGUAGGUGAAGCCCCUGCGGGCGGAGCUGAAAUCAGUCGAAGAUACCAGCUGGCUGCAACUGUUUAUUAAAAACACAGCACUGUGCAAACACGAAAGUGGACGUAUACGGUGUGACGCCUGCCCGGUGCCGGAAGGUUAAUUGAUGGGGUUAGCGGCAACGCGAAGCUCUUGAUCGAAGCCCCGGUAAACGGCGGCCGUAACUAUAACGGUCCUAAGGUAGCGAAAUUCCUUGUCGGGUAAGUUCCGACCUGCACGAAUGGCGUAAUGAUGGCCAGGCUGUCUCCACCCGAGACUCAGUGAAAUUGAACUCGCUGUGAAGAUGCAGUGUACCCGCGGCAAGACGGAAAGACCCCGUGAACCUUUACUAUAGCUUGACACUGAACACUGGUCCUUGAUGUGUAGGAUAGGUGGGAGGCUUUGAAGCGUGGACGCCAGUCUGCGUGGAGCCAACCUUGAAAUACCACCCUUUAAUGGCUGGUGUUCUAACGUAGACCCGUAAUCCGGGUUGCGGACAGUGUCUGGUGGGUAGUUUGACUGGGGCGGUCUCCUCCCAAAGAGUAACGGAGGAGCACGAAGGUUGGCUAAUCCUGGUCGGACAUCAGGAGGUUAGUGCAAUGGCAUAAGCCAGCUUGACUGCGAGCGUGACGGCGCGAGCAGGUGCGAAAGCAGGUCAUAGUGAUCCGGUGGUUCUGAAUGGAAGGGCCAUCGCUCAACGGAUAAAAGGUACUCCGGGGAUAACAGGCUGAUACCGCCCAAGAGUUCAUAUCGACGGCGGUGUUUGGCACCUCGAUGUCGGCUCAUCACAUCCUGGGGCUGAAGUAGGUCCCAAGGGUAUGGCUGUUCGCCAUUUAAAGUGGUACGCGAGCUGGGUUUAGAACGUCGUGAGACAGUUCGGUCCCUAUCUGCCGUGGGCGCUGGAGAAUUGAGGGGGGCUGCUCCUAGUACGAGAGGACCGGAGUGGACGCAUCACUGGUGUUCGGGUUGUCAUGCCAAUGGCACUGCCCGGUAGCUAAAUGCGGAAGAGAUAAGUGCUGAAAGCAUCUAAGCACGAAACUUGCCCCGAGAUGAGUUCU
RNAcentral lists this ribosomal RNA (2745 nucleotides) under Enterobacter hormaechei subsp. steigerwaltii. Its description in RNAcentral is "bacterial LSU rRNA". It matches the Rfam family "Bacterial large subunit ribosomal RNA". The record is from RNAcentral. Lineage: Bacteria; Pseudomonadati; Pseudomonadota; Gammaproteobacteria; Enterobacterales; Enterobacteriaceae.